Molecule: ribosomal RNA, 492 nt
Filed under: uncultured bacterium
Lineage: Bacteria
Description: partial 16S ribosomal RNA
Rfam family: Bacterial small subunit ribosomal RNA
Source: RNAcentral
AGUGAACGCUGGCGGUAGGCCUAACACAUGCAAGUCGAACGGCAGCACAGUAAGAGCUUGCUCUUACGGGUGGCGAGUGGCGGACGGGUGAGGAAUACAUCGGAAUCUACUUUUUCGUGGGGGAUAACGUAGGUAAACUUACGCUAAUACCGCAUACGACCUACGGGUGAAAGCAGGGGAUCUUCGGACCUUGCGCGAUUGAAUGAGCCGAUGUCGGAUUAGCUAGUUGGCGGGGUAAAGGCCCACCAAGGCGACGAUCCGUAGCUGGUCUGAGAGGAUGAUCAGCCACACUGGAACUGAGACACGGUCCAGACUCCUACGGGAGGCAGCAGUGGGGAAUAUUGGACAAUGGGCGCAAGCCUGCUCCAGCCAUACCGCGUGGGUGAAGAAGGCCUUCGGGUUGUAAAGCCCUUUUGUUGGGAAAGAAAAGCAGCAGGUUAAUACCCCGCUGUUCUGACGGUACCCAAAGAAUAAGCACCGGCUAACUUCGUG